RNAcentral lists this ribosomal RNA (570 nucleotides) under Triticum aestivum (bread wheat). Its description in RNAcentral is "partial small subunit ribosomal RNA". The record is from RNAcentral. Lineage: Eukaryota; Viridiplantae; Streptophyta; Magnoliopsida; Poales; Poaceae.
AUGGAGUACGUCAACCCUCUCACCUGCUUCCGCGUCGACGGCCGCCGCCCCAACGAGAUGCGGCAGCUCAAGGGCGAGGUCGGCGUCGUCUCCAGGGCUGACGGCUCGGCGCUCUUCGAGAUGGGCAACACCAGGGUCAUCGCCGCCGUCUACGGGCCACGGGAGGUGCGUUGUGAGUAUAGAAUGGCAGAAUUUAGCACUGGGGAUCGAAGGAGAAAGCCAAAAGGUGACAGGCGAUCAACAGAGAUUUCUCUUGUUAUUCGACAAACAAUGGAGGCAAGCAUAUUAACACAUUUAAUGCCACACUCACAGAUUGACAUAUUUGUCCAAGUUCUUCAAGCUGAUGGUGAUCUGAAUUACAUAGAAGACAGUGCUGGAGGUGUGGAUGUCACCGUUGACAUUCUUGCAAAGAUGGACAAAGUGACUCUUCUGCAGAUGGACGCGAAACUACCAAUGGACACAUUCGAGACUGUCAUGGACCUUGCAACUGAAGGGUGCAAAGCGAUCGCAACCUACAUCCGGGAGGUGCUAUUGGAGAACACGAAGCAGCUGGAGUGUCAGCGAGGCUAG